ACCCCAUGUUUUGAUGUUUGUAUCUAGCAUAAUAAAAAAUUCUCUUCUUAGCUUAAUAUCUGACACGGGUUGUAUUUGAACCUAAGAUAUUAAAGCUGUUUUUGCAAGUUGGCUAAGUGCUUAACGCCUGCUUCGCCUCCGCCGCGGGUCGGCCCGGUAUUGCACUACUUUCGAGAGCGGCCCACGUAUG
Small nuclear RNA from Dermacentor andersoni, 190 nucleotides. RefSeq annotates it as U2 spliceosomal RNA. Lineage: Eukaryota; Metazoa; Arthropoda; Arachnida; Ixodida; Ixodidae. The record is from RefSeq and is a predicted model, not a curated record.